Molecule: ribosomal RNA, 468 nt
Filed under: uncultured bacterium
Lineage: Bacteria
Description: partial 16S ribosomal RNA
Rfam family: Bacterial small subunit ribosomal RNA
Source: RNAcentral
GAUGAACGCUGGCGGCGUGCUUAAUACAUGCAAGUCGAACGGAAAGGCCCUGCUCUUGCGGGGUGCUCGAGUGGCGAACGGGUGAGUAACACGCGAGUAACCUGUCCCUGACUUUGGGAUAACUUCUGGAAACUGGGGCUAAUAUCGGAUAGGAGCUCCUGCUGCAUGGUGGGGGUUGGUAAGUUUCGGCGGUUGGGGAUGGACUCGCGGCUUAUCAGCUUGUUGGUGGGGUAGUGGCUUACCAAGGUUUUGACGGGUAGCCGGCCUGAGAGGGUGACCGGCCACAUUGGGACUGAGAUACGGCCCAGACUCCUACGGGAGGCAGCGGUGGGGAAUAUUGCACAAUGGGCGGAAGCCUGAUGCAGCAACGCCGCGUGCGGGAUAACGGCCUUCGGGUUGUAAACCGCUUUCGCCUGUGACGAAGCGUGAGUGACGGUAAUGGGUAAAGAAGCACCGGCUAACUACGUG